RNAcentral lists this ribosomal RNA (2542 nucleotides) under Nicotiana otophora. RNAcentral's name for it is "eukaryotic LSU rRNA". The stretch from base 1103 to 2542 matches the Rfam family "Eukaryotic large subunit ribosomal RNA", at positions 1891 to 3332 of the family's 3401-position model. The record is from RNAcentral. Lineage: Eukaryota; Viridiplantae; Streptophyta; Magnoliopsida; Solanales; Solanaceae.
UCUUAUCAUGUUGUAUUAUAAAUUAGGAUGUGUUCCAAUCUAUGGAUUGUGUAUCUACAUGUUAUAAUUCCAAGCUGUGUUUUAUGUGAAAAUUAUUAUGCUAAAUUGUGUAGAGAUUGUGAUUGGGAUUAUACCUCCACCCGACAUUUGGGGUGAGACGGCAAGGCCUCUUUGUGUAUGAUUGUGGUGUUGUUGUCACACCACCACCCAUACAUAUAUAUAUAUAUAUAUAUAUAUAUAUAUAUUGGGGUGAGGUGGCAUGGCCGCUUUGUGUAGGUAUUGGUAUCAUUGAUGCAUUUCCACCCGUAUAUAUUGGGGUGGGGCGGUAUGGCCGCUUUGUGAAGGUUUUUGGUACUGUAGUUAUACCUCCACCCACAUACAUUGGGGUGAGGCGGCAGGGCUGCUUGAGUGGAGUUUUGGUAUUGUGGUUACACCUUCACCUGCUUACAUUUGGGGUGAGGAAGCCGGGCCACUUUGUGUGAAAAUGAUUACAGAGGAUCUCAUCUUAAAUUCUAUAAAUGCUAAUGACAACUCCUGAUAAGCUUACUUUGGUUUAAACGGCUAUCUAUGUUAUUCUAUUGUCUCCAUGGUUCAUCAUAUUCAUAUUGUAUUUCCGAGUUCUUAAAUUAGAGUUAGGUUUUCAUACUAGUACUAUUCGACAUGUACUAAAGUCCCUUUUUGUUGGGGCACUACAUCUUUAAUGGAUGCAGGUGGUUCCACAGCAGAGGAUAUUGACCAGUGAUAGCGGUGCUCAUUCUUCCCAGCUGACUUGGUGAGCCCCAUCUCAUUCCAGGGUUGUGCUUCUUUUGUUUCGUUUGUGUUAUCUUGUUUUAAGGUAUAACCGGAGCCUUGUUGCCGGCUCUAUCAUUGUACUCUUUGGUAUGUUUAGAGGAUUUAUAGACUUAGUGUGGGUUGUAUAUGGUUGUUGGGAAUGAUAAACAAGUUGUGUUGUGAUUAAAUCACUUGUUCCACUUUGAACCAUGAAGGGGUGUGUGUGUUUUGAGACUUAUUAAAUGAAGUAACUAAUGGUAAUGAAUUGGUGUUAUAGACAUGAUCACCUUAUUGUCUAAUUAACGAAAUAUGUAUUAUCUUUAUUCAUGGGUGAGUUUCGGUAGAAAGAAAUCUAAUGGGCUUGCUCGGCCGGGUUCACUCGAUUGAUUGCCAAUCGCGCUCCCCUAUUUUAGGGCGUGACACUCCCGAACCCGUCAGUUGUCGGUGGACUGCUCUAACUGCUCCCGCAGUGAGAGAGGGUCACAAUGAGCCAACCGGGGGAUGGACUAGGAACGGUUCCUUCGGGGGCCUUCUCCGGUCAUCGAAUAGCCAACUCAAAACUGGUACAGACAAGGGUAAUCCGAGUAUUUAAUUAAAAUAAAGCAUUGCGAUGGUCCAUGCGGAUGAUUACGCAAUUGAUUUCUACCUAGUGCUCAGAAUGUCAAUAUGAAUAAAUUCACCCAAGCACAGGUAAACAGCAGCAGUAAUUAUGGAUCUCUUAAGGUAGCCAAAUGCCUCGCCAUCUAAUUAGUGAAACGCAUGAAUGGAUUAAGGAUAUUCCCACUACCCUUGUCUACUCUCCAGUGAAACGAUACCCAAGGGAACGGGCUUGACAGAAUCAGCGGGGAAAGAAGACCCUGUUGAACUUGACUCUAGACCGACUUUGUGAAAUGACUUGAGAGGUGUAGUAUAAGUGGGAGCCGAAAGGCGAAAGUAAAAUACCACACCACUAUUUUUAACGUUAUUUUACGUAUUCUGUGAAUCAGAAGCGGUGCUUUGCCCCUCAUUUUGGACCCAAGGCUUACUUGCAGGCCGAUCUGGGCAAAACAUAUUGUCAGGUGGGGAGUUUGGCUAGGGAGUCAUAUCUGUUAAAAGAUAACGCAUGUGUCCUAAGAUGAGCUCAACGAGAAUAGAAAUCACGUGUGGAAAAGAAGGGUAAAAGCUCAUUUGAUUCUGAUAUCUAGUACAAAUACGAACCAUGAAGCGUGGCCUAACGAUCUUUUAGACCUUCGAAAUUUGAAGUUAGAGGUGUCAGAAAAGUUACCACAGGGAUAACUGGCUUGUGACAGCCAAGCGUUCAUAGCGACGUUGCUUUUUGAUCCUUCGAUGUUAGAUCUUCCUAUCAUUAUGAAGCAAAAUACACCAAGUGUUGGAUUGUUCACCCACCAAUAGGGAAGAUGAGUUGAGUUUAGACCGUCGUGAGACAAGUUAGUUUUACCCUACUGAUGAUAGUGUCGCAAUAGUAAUUCAACCUAAUAUGAGAGGAACCGUUGAUUCGCACAAUUGGUCACCGCGCUUGGUUGAAAAGCCAGAGGCGCGAAGCUAUCGUGCGCUGGAUUAUGACUGAAUGCCUCUAAGUAAGAAUCCGGGCUAGAAGCAACGCAUGCACCCGCCGCCCGCUUGUCGACCCGCAAUAGGGGCCUUUGGCCCCCAAAGGCACAUGUCGUUGGCAAAGUCAUCGCGGCGAAGAGCCGCAACGUCCGUCUUGAAGUACAAUUUCCAUCGAGUGACAGGUAGAAUCCAUUCAACAUAACUUAUAUAUAUGACGGGG